RNAcentral lists this ribosomal RNA (460 nucleotides) under uncultured bacterium. Its description in RNAcentral is "partial 16S ribosomal RNA". It matches the Rfam family "Bacterial small subunit ribosomal RNA", at positions 338 to 795 of the family's 1533-position model. The record is from RNAcentral.
CCUACGGGGGGCAGCAGUGAGGAAUAUUGGUCAAUGGGCGUAAGCCUCAACCAGCCAAGUCGCGUGAGGGAUGAAGGUUCUAUGGAUCGUAAACCUCUUUUAUAAGGGAAUAAAGUGUGGGACGUGUCCUGUUUUGUAUGUACCUUAUGAAUAAGGAUCGGCUAACUCCGUGCCAGCAGCCGCGGUAAUACGGAGGAUCCGAGCGUUAUCCGGAUUUAUUGGGUUUAAAGGGUGCGUAGGCGGCCUUUUAAGUCAGCGGUGAAAGUCUGUGGCUCAACCAUAGAAUUGCCGUUGAAACUGGGAGGCUUGAGUAUGUUUGAGGCAGGCGGAAUGCGUGGUGUAGCGGUGAAAUGCUUAGAUAUCACGCAGAACCCCGAUUGCGAAGGCAGCCUGCCAAGCCAUGACUGACGCUGAUGCACGAAAGCGUGGGGAUCAAACAGGAUUAGAUACCCGGGUAAUC